Long non-coding RNA from Sinocyclocheilus rhinocerous, 464 nucleotides. RefSeq lists it as uncharacterized. The record is from RefSeq and is a predicted model, not a curated record. The transcript has 3 exons. Lineage: Eukaryota; Metazoa; Chordata; Actinopteri; Cypriniformes; Cyprinidae.
GAAGCUGCGCUCUUGCAGAACAGUGGCUCUCCAGGAGUGGAGUUUGAAACAUGUGCCUUAGAUGCCCAAUCGGAUUGAGAUCUGGGGAAUUUGGAGGCCGAGGCAAACCUAGAACCCCUUUUGUCAUGUUCCUCAAACCAUUCCAGAACCAUUUUUGCAGUGUGAUAAGGAGCAUUAUCCUGCUGAAAGAGGCCACUGUCAUCAGGGAACACUAUUGCCAUGAAGGGGUAUACGUGGUGUGCAACAAUCUUUAGGGAUCUACAUUUCCUGCUCCAUACACCAGGGGAUGCAUGUUUGCGGGUUGGCCUUUGGAUACAGGCGUUUUCCAGAGGACAAUCCUGCCAAAAAAUUCCAGUGUGAGAGUCUCCGGAUCUGUGCUGUCCUUCAGAACACGUCCGGUUUUCUCACAGUCUUGAGGAGUUGCAUGAGAACGAAGUAUUUUGACAACAACAGGGAAUCUGGGU